AGACUUAAGAUGGCGGCGUGUGUGCUGGGGAAAAGUACUGCCGGCCUACCAGGUGUGGAAAGCAGCCAAAGAGCAAAUCUGAGGAAAGUACAGAAGCUCGCCAAGUUUUGUUUUGUGAAAUGAGAAAAGGUGUCAAUUCUAUAAUCAACUUUCCACUUCAAGAAACUAAAAAAGAAAAAAAAAAAGCAUAAUUAACCCCAAACCAGCUAAAGGAAGGAAAUAAUAAGAUGCAUUUAGUCACUUAAGAAAGACGCAGCAGGAGG
This is a long non-coding RNA of Lontra canadensis (Northern American river otter), 263 nucleotides long. RefSeq lists it as uncharacterized. Lineage: Eukaryota; Metazoa; Chordata; Mammalia; Carnivora; Mustelidae. The record is from RefSeq and is a predicted model, not a curated record. The transcript is spliced from 3 exons.